RNAcentral lists this ribosomal RNA (450 nucleotides) under uncultured Methanosaeta sp. Its description in RNAcentral is "bacterial SSU rRNA". It matches the Rfam family "Archaeal small subunit ribosomal RNA", at positions 889 to 1338 of the family's 1478-position model. Lineage: Archaea; Methanobacteriati; Methanobacteriota; Methanomicrobia; Methanotrichales; Methanotrichaceae. The record is from RNAcentral.
UGGAGCUUGCGGUUUAAUUGGAUUCAACGCCGAAAAUCUUACCGGGACCGACAGCAAUAUGAAGGCCAGGCUGAAGACUUUGCCGGAUUAGCUGAGAGGUGGUGCAUGGCCGUCGUCAGUUCGUACUGUGAAGCAUCCUGUUAAGUCAGGCAACGAGCGAGACCCACGCCCACAGUUGCCAGCGUACUCUCUGGAGUGACGGGUACACUGUGGGGACCGCCGCUGCUAAAGCGGAGGAAGGAAUGGGCAACGGUAGGUCAGUAUGCCCCGAAUAUCCCGGGCUACACGCGAGCUACAAUGGUUGGUACAAUGGGUAUCUACCCCGAAAGGGGACGGGAAUCUCCUAAAACCAAUCUUAGUUCGGAUUGAGGGCUGCAACUCGCCCUCAUGAAGCUGGAAUCCGUAGUAAUCGCGUUUCAACAGAACGCGGUGAAUACGUCCCUGCUCCUU